This 1444-nucleotide ribosomal RNA is filed under the name metagenome. RNAcentral's name for it is "bacterial SSU rRNA". It matches the Rfam family "Bacterial small subunit ribosomal RNA". The record is from RNAcentral.
AGAGUUUGAUCCUGGCUCAGGAUGAACGCUGGCGGCGUGCUUAACACAUGCAAGUCGAACGAGCCUUCGGGCUAGUGGCGGACGGGUGAGUAACGCGUGGGAAUCUGCCCUCAGGAGGGGGAUAACGGCCGGAAACGGCCGCUAAUACCCCAUAUGCCGAGAGGUGAAACGAAUUUCGCCUGAGGAUGAGCCCGCGUCUGAUUAGCUAGUUGGUGAGGUAAUGGCUCACCAAGGCAUCGAUCAGUAGCUGGUCUGAGAGGAUGAUCAGCCACACUGGGACUGAGACACGGCCCAGACUCCUACGGGAGGCAGCAGUGGGGAAUUUUCCGCAAUGGGCGCAAGCCUGACGGAGCAACGCCGCGUGAGGGACGAAGGCCUCUGGGCUGUAAACCUCUUUUCUCAAGGAAGAAGACAUGACGGUACUUGAGGAAUAAGCCACGGCUAAUUCCGUGCCAGCAGCCGCGGUAAUACGGGAGUGGCAAGCGUUAUCCGGAAUUAUUGGGCGUAAAGCGUCCGCAGGCGGCCUUGAAAGUCUGUUGUUAAAGCGUGGAGCUCAACUCCAUUUCAGCAAUGGAAACUACAAGGCUAGAGUGUGGUAGGGGCAGAGGGAAUUCCCGGUGUAGCGGUGAAAUGCGUAGAUAUCGGGAAGAACACCAGUGGCGAAGGCGCUCUGCUGGGCCAUAACUGACGCUCAUGGACGAAAGCCAGGGGAGCGAUAGGGAUUAGAUACCCCUGUAGUCCUGGCCGUAAACGAUGAACACUAGGUGUCGGGAGAAUUAACCCUUUCGGUGUCGUAGCCAACGCGUUAAGUGUUCCGCCUGGGGAGUACGCACGCAAGUGUGAAACUCAAAGGAAUUGACGGGGGCCCGCACAAGCGGUGGAGUAUGUGGUUUAAUUCGAUGCAACGCGAAGAACCUUACCAGGGUUUGACAUCCUGCGUAUCCUUUGGAAACUUAGGAGUGCCUUCGGGAGCGCAGUGACAGGUGGUGCAUGGCUGUCGUCAGCUCGUGUCGUGAGAUGUUGGGUUAAGUCCCGCAACGAGCGCAACCCACGUCUUUAGUUGCCAGCAUUUAGUUGGGCACUCUAGAGAGACCGCCGGUGAUAAACCGGAGGAAGGUGUGGAUGACGUCAAGUCAUCAUGCCCCUUACAUCCUGGGCUACACACGUACUACAAUGCUACGGACAAAGGGCAGCAAACUCGCGAGAGCUAGCAAAUCCCAUAAACCGUGGCUCAGUUCAGAUCGUAGGCUGCAACUCGCCUACGUGAAGGAGGAAUCGCUAGUAAUCGCAGGUCAGCAUACUGCGGUGAAUACGUUCCCGGGCCUUGUACACACCGCCCGUCACACCAUGGAAGUUGGCCAUGCCCGAAGUCGUUACUCCAACCCGCAAGGGAGGAGGACGCCGAAGGUGGGGCUGAUGACUGGGGUGAAGUCGGAACAAGGUA